AAAAAAAUAUAUCAAACCGAUUCCACCAUAAAAAGCGAACAUUUGCUUCGUCACCUUCCAAUUUUCUCUCUUUCUCUUUCGAAUCCAAUUCCGGUUUUAAGCUGAAAGUGGACGAGAAUCAGCGUGAAAAGUAAGCUUCAAUUUUCGAAUAUUCCUCACAGCGUUCGUUCUUAUAGUGAUUUUCGUUUCGGUUCUCUGCGUGCAAAAAAUGUCGAGCGGUUCCGUUAGAAGAGUCUCGCGCCAAGAUAUACAAGUGGUGCAAAAUCUUAUAGAGCGAUGUCUUCAACUGUACAUGAAUCAGAAGGAGGUUGUGGAAACUCUAUUGGAUCAGGCAAAAAUAGAGCCUGGUUUUACAGAACUUGUUUGGCAGAAGCUAGAAGAAGAAAAUCGAGAUUUCUUCAGGGCUUAUUAUCUUAGAUUGAUGGUGAAGCAACAAAUAAAUGAAUUCAACAGGUUGCUUGAUCAACAGGUGCAGUUAAUGCGUCAGAUGCAAUCAAGUGGAGUUGCUUCACUGCCUACCUCUAAUGGAUCUCAUAUCUCAUCAUUGCACCAGAAUUCAGCUUGCUAUGGCCCAGAGCAUACAGGACCAGCUGUGAAGGCAGAAAAUAUCCACCACCCUAUUGGUUCCGGUUUGCCUAAUGCAUUUACUAAUGGUGUGCCUAAUGCAUUUACUAAUGGUGGAUCAUUGUUGCACCCAAAUAUGCAUGCUGCUGUUCAAAUGCCUGCUCAUUCUAGUAGGAUUGAUGCCCCACCAAAUAUGCUAUCUGCUCAGAGCUCAAACUUGGGUAUGAUUCAAGGAAUAAAUGGUGGGAUAAUCAAAUCAGAAACUGGAUAUUCUGGCAGUUCCUCUUACAUGUUUGGCUCUGAUGGAAAUGUCCUGGAAUUGCGUCCAACAAUUGGGGAUGCAUCUGUUGCAUCUUUCCCCAGUGUAGAGUCUAACUCACAACCCCUGAAUGAACAAAUUCUGGAUAUGGAAUCUUCUUCUUUUGGAUAUUUAGGCCAGAUUCCUCGAAAUUUCAGUCUCUCAGACCUGGCAGCAGACUUUUCUCAGAGUUCUGAUAUACUGGAGACUUACCCUCGAUCACCUUUCCUAGCAACAGAUUCAGAAAGCUUUCUCGAUUCUCGUGACAGAGAACAUCAAGACAAUAAAAGGUUGGAAUCUAUAUCAGAGGGCUUGAGUUGUGAAGACUUUGGGAGUGAAUAGUGAAUAAGCUAUAUCUACUGGUCUGCUAUUUGAGGUCUAACAAGAACCCAAGGAUAGAAGUGUCUGUACAUAGCAUCGUAGAAUUGGAGAGACUGGAUUUUAAAUUCCUUGAAGGUAUUAAUUGGUGUGUAGAAGCUCAUUGACGUUAUGUAUUGAUUUGUGCCAUGGGGAAAGCUAGGACGAGAAGUGGGUCUAGAAUGUAGAAACAUUAAUGAAAUGAAGACAAUUAAAUAAAUUGUUUUUUUGUGCUUACUCAUCCCGGUUUGUGGGAUUCCAGUCAUACAUCACGCUUUUAAGCUGUCAAUAUGGACAAGAAGCGGAGUGGGAACAUGGGGUCCUCUGUCUCUGAUAAAUAGUUGUUUUCCUAUUUCCAUAGCCCCCAAAAAAAAAAAAAAAAAAAAAAAAUGGUGGUAACAAUUUAUCAAUGAAUAUUUGUUUAUAGAAAUAGGUUGCCUUAUCUGAAUUUUAGGAAACUGAUACUGUCCCAAUGAUACAUGUUAAAAUUAACCAAGACUUCCAUUGGCAAAACCACUCUCUCUUCAUCUUCUCAGUUUCCACACCCUUCAUACUCAAAACAGUAACUCUUUCAUUCAAUUGCCACUUUAGAGCUAUAGCUGAAAUGGUUUCUAGUUUGUACAUAGAUUGGGACAAUCGGAAUCUAACAUCGACUCGAGCUAGUUUGGACUGUUCUGAACAUGGCUCUAACCAUUCACAAAUUUGUAUUUUUAGCCCAAUUCAAUCCCAAUCAAUUUUCAUUGCAAAAGUUCAAUGCACUUGUGUUGCUCUGAUCUCAACUCGAUCUUUGCGC
RNA transcript from Quercus lobata, 2012 nucleotides. RefSeq lists it as uncharacterized. The transcript has 9 exons. The record is from RefSeq and is a predicted model, not a curated record. NCBI's taxonomy places the organism in Eukaryota, Viridiplantae, Streptophyta, Magnoliopsida, Fagales, Fagaceae.